GAUGAACGCUGGCGGCGUGCUUAACACAUGCAAGUCGAACGAAGCACUUUAACUUGAUUUCUUCGGAUUGAUUGUUUUAGUGACUGAGUGGCGGACGGGUGAGUAACGCGUGGGUAACCUGCCUCAUACAGGGGGAUAACAGUUAGAAAUGACUGCUAAUACCGCAUAAGCACACAGUGUCGCAUGACACGGUGUGAAGAACUCCGGUGGUAUGAGAUGGACCCGCGUCUGAUUAGCUAGUUGGUGGGGUAACGGCCUACCAAGGCGACGAUCAGUAGCCGACCUGAGAGGGUGACCGGCCACAUUGGGACUGAGACACGGCCCAA
RNAcentral lists this ribosomal RNA (326 nucleotides) under uncultured bacterium. RNAcentral describes it as "bacterial SSU rRNA". It matches the Rfam family "Bacterial small subunit ribosomal RNA", at positions 28 to 334 of the family's 1533-position model. The record is from RNAcentral.